Molecule: long non-coding RNA, 692 nt
Organism: Heterocephalus glaber (naked mole-rat)
Lineage: Eukaryota; Metazoa; Chordata; Mammalia; Rodentia; Bathyergidae
Source: RefSeq, a predicted model, not a curated record
CCUCUGCAGGGAGUGACCGCCUCUCACCUCUGCCCCCUGCAAAGCCCCCCAGCCACUGCUGUCUUCUACUCCUCCACCCAGGUGGGCGGGAACCCCUGGGUCUCAGGACGGCCCCUGGCCAGUCUUGUGGUGGGAGAGCAAGGCUCCCGCCGCCAAAGAGGCCCAGGGGUCAAAGCGAGGAGAGCCAAGCAGAGAGCGACAGCCAUGAGGCAGCUGUCACCCCACGUCAGGGUGCUAGGGAGUGGCAGGGACUGCGGCAGAGUGGAGAGCAUUGCCUUCCACGGCUGAAUCCACACCAGGCAGAAAGGGUGGGGACAGGAUCUGGGGGACACGCAGCAUUAGGGCUCACUGGAUCCAGGCCCAGGUGUCGGAGUGCCACGCCCCAUUCCCACCUGCGGACACAGGGUGAGCGUUUGCUCUGAGGCUGCCCGCUGCUCGUGGCUCCUGACCCUGCACUCACCUCAGGACUUGGCCCAGGUUUCCCUGCCCGCUGCGAGCCCCCACAGUAAAUCAGGGAAAUGGAACAAAACCUUCUUUGUCAAAAAUUCCUCCAAAACCAAGCCAGCCUCAAGACACCAGCAAGAUCUCCAUCCCUUCAACUCACCAUCAACUUCACAGGGUCACGAACUUUGUCUUCAUCUCCAUGGUCCCUGGCAUGUAGUAGGUGAUCAAUAAAUAUUUGCUGAUGAAAG